GCACUCAUGGCGCAGUUGGGAACACUGGCGACUAACGGUCAGCAGGUCUCUGGUUCAAUCCCACUGUGUGCC
This is a non-coding RNA of Caenorhabditis elegans, 72 nucleotides long. The record is from the annotation of a RefSeq genome assembly. Lineage: Eukaryota; Metazoa; Nematoda; Chromadorea; Rhabditida; Rhabditidae.